Molecule: ribosomal RNA, 551 nt
Filed under: Arsenophonus endosymbiont of Trialeurodes vaporariorum
Lineage: Bacteria; Pseudomonadati; Pseudomonadota; Gammaproteobacteria; Enterobacterales; Morganellaceae
Description: partial 23S ribosomal RNA
Rfam family: Bacterial large subunit ribosomal RNA
Source: RNAcentral
CGAAGCGAACCGGGGGAACUGAAACAUCUCAGUACCCCGAGGAAAAGAAAUCAACCGAGAUUCCCCCAGUAGCGGCGAGCGAACGGGGAGCAGCCCAGAGUCAACAUCAAUAUUUAUUGCAGGAGAAGGGUCUGAAAAAGCCGGCAACAAAAGGUGAUAGCCCCGUAUCUGAAACGGUAAGUGUUGUGAACUCGAAGAGUAGGGCGGGACACGUGUUAUCCUGUCUGAAUAUGAGGGACCAUCCUCCAAGGCUAAAUACUCCUGACUGACCGAUAGUGAACCAAGUACCGUGAGGGAAAGGCGAAAAGAACCCCGGCGAGGGGAAUGAAAUAGAACCUAAAACUCUGUACGUACAAGCAGUGAGAGCACCCGAAAGGGUGUGACUGCGUACCUUUUGUAUAAAAGGUCAGCGACUUAUAUUCUGUAGCACUUAUAUUCUGUAGCAAGGUUAACCGGAUAGGGAAGCCCUAGGGAAACCGACUCUUAACUGGUCGUUAAGUUCCAGGGUAUAGACCCCGAAACCCGGAAAUCUACCCAUGGGCAGGUUGAAG